Bombus terrestris (buff-tailed bumblebee) is the source of this 1674-nucleotide long non-coding RNA. RefSeq lists it as uncharacterized. Lineage: Eukaryota; Metazoa; Arthropoda; Insecta; Hymenoptera; Apidae. The record is from RefSeq and is a predicted model, not a curated record. The transcript is spliced from 7 exons.
UAAUACCAAAAUGAUCACAUAUUUGUUAUUUGUUUCUACUUCUAUUUUGGUGCAAUUGAAAAUUCAAAUGGCAAUAUUAUUGUUUUGUGUUUGUUGUGUAUAUAUACUGUGUGUUAUUUUAAUAUAAUAGUUUGUGGAUUGUAUUGCUAUUGUAUUGUUGAAAUCUACAAAUUAUUAAUAGCACUGUUUCACUGCUUAGUUAUGAAUGGUUUAUAUUUAUAUAACUUUUGUUUAAUUGGUUUAAUUUAAUAUGUGCAUAGUGUAUUCCAUCACCGGUGACUAUUAUGUAGCAUAACCUUACUUUUUUAUACCAGAUUCAAUAUAAUAAUACUAUAAUAGAUCAAUACAAUAUAAUAAUCUCUUAUUUUAAUCGUGUUUGUCGUUGAUACUCAGUUAAUCUGUCUUGAUUAAUUUCUAACCUAUUUCUAUAUUUAUUGGCUGUUUCUAUUUCUUUUUGAUUAGUUUGUUGUUAUUUCAUACUUGUCAUUUGCUGUUAUUUCAUAUUUGUAUGGUUCUCCGAUUCUAUUUUUUCAACGCUGCGUUGCUUGCUUGGAACAUUUACACAGUGCGUCUUUUGCAUCGUCUGGUUUUUCAUUACAUUGUCAACACUUAUUAUGACUACUUUUAUUUAUGUUAGAUCUGUUAUAAUUGUCAAUCUUAAUAUUUAUUACCUUCGGUAUUCUUGUACCUGUAAGUAAAAUGGUCUCCGUUUCUUUUUCAUUGGCAAGUGUAAGUCUGUUGUCGCACAUCAAUUAUUGACCAUUAUCAUCGCUUAUUUUAGUUUAACUUUAAUAUUAAGUUAUAAAUAUUUAAUAUCAUUCUUUUCCUUUUUUUUUUAUUAAGGCAAUUGAGGUUAAUCUAUCCAUUUCUUUCAGUUGACCAUUGUAUACUAUGUUCUACAAAAAUGGAUCUAUAACCAAUCCCUGUGGAAUUCCUGCAUAUACAUUUCUUUCUACGAUAAUUAAUUAUGUACAAGCUUCAUUGAUUUAUAAGGUUCUCCUAUCUUCAUUAUUCGGCAAGCAGCAUUAUACUAUAUAUUACCAUACUACGUCGUCUCUUAAAAUCGUUUUGGCUAUUGUUUAUUUCGAUACUUUAUUUCCGUUACCAAACAUUGUACAACUGAGAAGUUAUCAGAGAAGAGAAUAUACAAAUUUAAAUUCUCACCUUAAAUGUAUGCGGAGUCGAUCGAGUUUUAUUGUACCACUUGGCGGUUAAUCGAACUUCGACAAUUUAUAGAAUGACGGCGAACUGGCAAAAUGACGGCGUGAACACUUCGAUUUUGAAAUGUGGAAACAUUCAAGGUGCGUGAUAAGAUGUGGAUAUUGUAACAGUUUAUCUUUUGCUGAAGUUGCGUCUGCGAUGCUUCUGAAACCCUCCAUACCGAGAGCGUAAGAGCGGCAGUGGGCAUCUCAUUGUUCUGUCGAGUCUUCAUACGUGUAGCAUGUAACGUCAAUAAAUAUCUACAACAGGUUCAGGAAACUUGAACCGCCUUCCACACGAUACCAACUUCCAAAACAAAGGAAUAUGAAUUCGACACUUAGGCAUAAGAUAAACGAACAUCUAGAAGGGCUGGGCCUUGAUCGAGGCUUCAGCCUUUGGGUAACGGUCUAAUCGCAAACUUGUAAUCUUAUUAUAGAAUAAAGGUAUCUUGAACUCUGGUUCAAGAACCCAACA